Molecule: long non-coding RNA, 277 nt
Organism: Mus musculus (house mouse)
Lineage: Eukaryota; Metazoa; Chordata; Mammalia; Rodentia; Muridae
Product: predicted gene, 40666
Exons: 3
Source: RefSeq, a predicted model, not a curated record
GUGCAGUACCAACAGAGGCCAGAAGAGGUUUCAAAUCUCUUGGAGCUACUGUUACAGGCUGUGGCAGGAGCUAUAUAGUCCAUUCUGGUCUCUAACUCCCCAUGUAGCUGAAGUUGACUCUAAACUUCUGAUUCCUGCCUUCACAGAUGAGGAUUGCGAUUAUGGCACAUCAGGAUCUGUGGAUUCCCAGUGUGCUCUGCAUCCAGUGGGCUGUUUAGCAGAUGCAGUAUAUUGGCUCCCUUUGCUAUAUCCUGUUUUCAGUAAAUUUGAGACAAAA